GUAGUUCUAAUUCUUGCUAAUUAAAGAAAUGGAUGAAAGACUUUUACAUGAUGAUAAUGCGUACGGGCGGACAGAUUCAUAUUGUUGACUGUACACAUCUGAUUGUAUAAAAAGUUGGAUAUUUUCUAAGACUUAAUGUUGUGAAUCCCUGAGUAAAUGGUUUCUUCCUCCUCCUAGGAUUACUUCACAAGUUUCCCACGGCCUCCAAAAGACACCUAGAAUUCUUAUUACAUGAUGAGCAACUGUUUUCAACCAAGAACUGUGGUCUCAUGUCUUUGGUGGACAGUGGGGGGCAAGACUCCAGUGAAUUCAGAUAGAAUCCUACACAGCUGUUAACAAUUCAAGUUUACAAGUAUUAACUUGCAAAAUUCAACUUGGAUGAGCUAUGGUCCCAUUGCUUUACUGGAGCAGACAAGUGAAUUCAGAUUGAGUUUGAAAGGAGCAGAUAAUCCAGUUCUUCAGUUUGAAACUUCCAAGAUGGCAACUAAUCGUCAUGGAAUGCGGAGUUUUCAAGUAUUGCUAGAUCUUGAAAUGCUGAAUGUACUAUACACAUGGUAACUUUAACAUCCUACCAUUUUGUGAUUGAAGAAAUAAAUAUUUCAUAGUUA
Penaeus indicus is the source of this 608-nucleotide long non-coding RNA. RefSeq lists it as uncharacterized. Lineage: Eukaryota; Metazoa; Arthropoda; Malacostraca; Decapoda; Penaeidae. The record is from RefSeq and is a predicted model, not a curated record. The transcript has 3 exons.